UACGAAGGGGGGCUAGCGUUGCUCGGAAUUACUGGGCGUAAAGGGCUCGUAGGCGGUUUGUCGCGUCGGGAGUGAAAUCCACUGGCUUAACUGGUGGCUUGCUUUCGAUACGGGCAGACUGGAGGUAUGCAGGGGAGAACGGAAUUCCUGGUGUAGCGGUGAAAUGCGCAGAUAUCAGGAGGAACACCGGUGGCGAAGGCGGCUUUCUGGACGGUAACUGACGCUGAGACGCGAAAGCGUGGGGAGCAAACAGG
This 254-nucleotide ribosomal RNA is filed under the name uncultured bacterium. RNAcentral describes it as "partial 16S ribosomal RNA". It matches the Rfam family "Bacterial small subunit ribosomal RNA", at positions 524 to 776 of the family's 1533-position model. The record is from RNAcentral.